Molecule: ribosomal RNA, 497 nt
Filed under: uncultured bacterium
Lineage: Bacteria
Description: partial 16S ribosomal RNA
Rfam family: Bacterial small subunit ribosomal RNA
Source: RNAcentral
GAUGAACGCUGGCGGCGUGCCUAAUACAUGCAAGUCGAGCGAACAGACGAGGAGCUUGCUCCUCUGACGUUAGCGGCGGACGGGGGAGUAACACGUGGAUAACCUACCUAUAAGACUGGGAUAACUUCGGGAAACCGGAGUUAAUACCGGAUAAUAUAUUGAACCGCAUGGUUCAAUAGUGAAAGACGGUUUUGCUGUCACUUAUAGAUGGAUCCGCGCCGCAUUAGCUAGUUGGUAAGGUAACGGCUUACCAAGGCAACGAUGCGUAGCCGACCUGAGAGGGUGAUCGGCCACGCUGGAACUGAGACACGGUCCAGACUCCUACGGGAGGCAGCAGUAGGGAAUCUUCCGCAAUGGGCGAAAUCUUGACGGAGCAACGCCGCGUGAGUGAUGAAGUUCUUCGGAUCGUAAAACUCUGUUAUUAGGGAAGAACAAAUGUGUAAGUAACUAUGCACGUCUUGACGGUACCUAAUCAGAAAGCCACGGCUAACUACGUG